This is a long non-coding RNA of Vitis vinifera (wine grape), 1612 nucleotides long. RefSeq lists it as uncharacterized. The transcript is spliced from 8 exons. NCBI's taxonomy places the organism in Eukaryota, Viridiplantae, Streptophyta, Magnoliopsida, Vitales, Vitaceae. The record is from RefSeq and is a predicted model, not a curated record.
UCUAAAACAUAAAAGUUAUCAAAUUUGCAAAACCCAACCAACCCGAUAAAGUUAGAAAUUUGGGAAAACUCUGUCAUUUCCUCUCAUUUUGCCCUAACCCAUCUAUAGUUUCCAAAAACCUUCAACGAAGCCAAAGUUGAGCCAUUUCUUCAUCUUUAUUCAUCAAAUGUGCAAUAUUUUGAAGGUUUCUAGAAACCGAAGUGGAACUUCCUCUUCCUUUUGGAUUAAUCGCAGAGGGGUGCAUCAAACAGCAAGUUCCUCAACUAUUUAAACAAACACAUACUACCUGUUUUUGAUAAGGCAUGCAACAAAAAUAGACAAACUUGUUAAAGAGGAGACAACUUCUUGGGAAGCAGAAGAAUACCUACUCAUCCUUGGUUCUAAGUGGCUUAUGAAUUAUUGGUGUCCCUGUUAUCAACCCCUCUUGAUGCCCAUCAUGCUGAAGUAGCAACUAGUGCGCAAGCCAAGUGUUACAGAUAUAUACGGACUUUUUGAAGAAACCAACAUUCUAGCAUUCAUAGAUUACUUGGGAAUUGUUUUUGAGGUUACUCCUAGUGAUACACCAUACACUUCUGCCAGUAUUUUUGAAGAUUUGAUUUUGUAACCAGAGCUGUUGAGGGGGAUUUAUGAUGAGAUGAAGUUUGAGAGGCCUAGUAAAAUUGGGGCAAUCAGUUUGCCUAUGAUUUUGACUCCUCCUUACAAAAAUGUAAUUGCUCAAGCUAACAAUGGUUUUGCCAAGACGACUUGUUUUGUACUUGGAAUGUUGACUCGUGUUGAUCCAAAGUUGCAAGUCCCUCAGGCCCUUUGCAUUUGUCCUACAACAAAAUUGGCAAUAUAGAAUCUGGAGGUGGUUCGUAAGUUGGGAAAGCACUGAUAAAAGAAGAACAAGAAAAGACUAAGGUUCUCCUCAUUAAUUCAAUCUCACUUGCACAUGCCAGUUGUGCUUAUGUUUUCUGCUACUUUCAAUGAUACAGUUAAAAAUUACGUUACAAGAAAAGCUUCCUACCAUAAAAUGUUUGUAAAGAAAGAAGAACUAUCCUUGUAGUCUGUGAAGCAGUGUAAGGUGAAAAUCAUUUUGGGGUUCAAAUAGUAGAGGACAACAUGCAUCUAUAUCGAUUGAGGUUGGUCGUUACCUUGGUUACUAGUGCGGCAAACAAUGCUAGAGAGAAGGUCAUGAAGGCAUGUCCAAUGUGAUUAAUAGAGGCCACUUGCAACAUGGAAGGUCACUGAUGGCACCUUACUUGCAUGAGAGUGGGGCUGGUGGUGUCGGCAGUCCAUAAUCAGAAGGUGGAGCCCUCUAUGCUAUUGUGAUGCUCAAAUCAGUUUUAGGUUGCACUAUUAUAAUCAGAAGGUGGAGCCCUCUAUGCUAUUGUGCCCAUGUUGGUUGUGGUCUCGCUAACAACCUUCAUCCUUUGGGUCAUUGAUUGUUAGAAACUGAACACCAUGAAUUGUGUAUGGAUGCCUGUGCGAGUUUGUCAGUUGGGUUCCUUCAGUGUUGAUUAUGUUUUCUUCUAUAAUGUAAUUUUGGAGUUCCAUUUUCGAUUGCUUGUAACAGUUCUUUGAAGAAACCUUCUGAAAUAGUAUACGAAUCUCCUGUGUUUUAGAUGUUUAA